UCUCUCUGUACGGGAAGGAUGAGAAGCUUCGACUAAGGUUCGAUUCGAGCGCAGCGAGAAAGCGUUGCCGCAGGCAACGACCCGAAGGGCGAAGCGCGCAGCGCUGAGUCAUCCUUCCCCCACCACCA
This 128-nucleotide small RNA is filed under the name Salmonella enterica. RNAcentral describes it as "RtT sRNA". It matches the Rfam family "RtT RNA". From Rfam's summary of the family: This family represents a bacterial cis-regulatory element known as RtT RNA. The exact function of RtT is unknown although it is thought that it may be involved in changing the cellular response in relation to amino acid starvation. RNAcentral also lists the same sequence under 2 other names. Lineage: Bacteria; Pseudomonadati; Pseudomonadota; Gammaproteobacteria; Enterobacterales; Enterobacteriaceae. The record is from RNAcentral.